Molecule: ribosomal RNA, 894 nt
Filed under: uncultured Bacillus sp.
Lineage: Bacteria; Bacillati; Bacillota; Bacilli; Caryophanales; Bacillaceae
Description: bacterial SSU rRNA
Rfam family: Bacterial small subunit ribosomal RNA
Source: RNAcentral
CCGUAUAGUUUGAUCCUGGCUCAGGACGAACGCUGGCGGCGUGCCUAAUACAUGCAAGUCGAGCGGACAGAUGGGAGCUUGCUCCCUGAUGUUAGCGGCGGACGAGUGAGUAACACGUGGGUAACCUGCCUGUAAGACUGGGAUAACUCCGGGAAACCGGGGCUAAUACCGGAUGGUUGUUUGAACCGCAUGGUUCAAACAUAAAAGGUGGCUUCGGCUACCACUUACAGAUGGACCCGCGGCGCAUUAGCUAGUUGGUGAGGUAACGGCUCACCAAGGCAACGAUGCGUAGCCGACCUGAGAGGGUGAUCGGCCACACUGGGACUGAGACACGGCCCAGACUCCUACGGGAGGCAGCAGUAGGGAAUCUUCCGCAAUGGACGAAAGUCUGACGGAGCAACGCCGCGUGAGUGAUGAAGGUUUUCGGAUCGUAAAGCUCUGUUGUUAGGGAAGAACAAGUACCGUUCGAAUAGGGCGGUACCUUGACGGUACCUAACCAGAAAGCCACGGCUAACUACGUGCCAGCAGCCGCGGUAAUACGUAGGUGGCAAGCGUUGUCCGGAAUUAUUGGGCGUAAAGGGCUCGCAGGCGGUUUCUUAAGUCUGAUGUGAAAGCCCCCGGCUCAACCGGGGAGGGUCAUUGGAAACUGGGGAACUUGAGUGCAGAAGAGGAGAGUGGAAUUCCACGUGUAGCGGUGAAAUGCGUAGAGAUGUGGAGGAACACCAGUGGCGAAGGCGACUCUCUGGUGUGUAAGUGACGCUGAGGAGCGAAAGCGUGGGGAGCGAACAGGAUUAGAUACCCUGGUAGUCCACGCCGUAAACGAUGAGUGCUGAGUGUUAGGGGGUUUCCGCCCCUUAGUGCUGCAGAUAACGCAUUGAGACUCCGCCUGGAGAC